AAAUUGAAGAGUUUGAUCAUGGCUCAGAUUGAACGCUGGCGGCAGGCCUAACACAUGCAAGUCGAACGGUAACAGGAAGCAGCUUGCUGCUUCGCUGACGAGUGGCGGACGGGUGAGUAAUGUCUGGGAAACUGCCUGAUGGAGGGGGAUAACUACUGGAAACGGUGGCUAAUACCGCAUAAUGUCGCAGGACCAAAGAGGGGGA
This 205-nucleotide ribosomal RNA is filed under the name Salmonella enterica subsp. arizonae. RNAcentral describes it as "partial 16S ribosomal RNA". It matches the Rfam family "Bacterial small subunit ribosomal RNA", at positions 1 to 211 of the family's 1533-position model. Lineage: Bacteria; Pseudomonadati; Pseudomonadota; Gammaproteobacteria; Enterobacterales; Enterobacteriaceae. The record is from RNAcentral.